This 552-nucleotide ribosomal RNA is filed under the name Bifidobacterium animalis subsp. lactis. RNAcentral describes it as "bacterial SSU rRNA". It matches the Rfam family "Bacterial small subunit ribosomal RNA", at positions 158 to 711 of the family's 1533-position model. The record is from RNAcentral. Lineage: Bacteria; Bacillati; Actinomycetota; Actinomycetes; Bifidobacteriales; Bifidobacteriaceae.
GGGUGGUAAUACCGGAUGCUCCGCUCCAUCGCAUGGUGGGGUGGGAAAUGCUUUUGCGGCAUGGGAUGGGGUCGCGUCCUAUCAGCUUGUUGGCGGGGUGAUGGCCCACCAAGGCGUUGACGGGUAGCCGGCCUGAGAGGGUGACCGGCCACAUUGGGACUGAGAUACGGCCCAGACUCCUACGGGAGGCAGCAGUGGGGAAUAUUGCACAAUGGGCGCAAGCCUGAUGCAGCGACGCCGCGUGCGGGAUGGAGGCCUUCGGGUUGUAAACCGCUUUUGUUCAAGGGCAAGGCACGGUUUCGGCCGUGUUGAGUGGAUUGUUCGAAUAAGCACCGGCUAACUACGUGCCAGCAGCCGCGGUAAUACGUAGGGUGCGAGCGUUAUCCGGAUUUAUUGGGCGUAAAGGGCUCGUAGGCGGUUCGUCGCGUCCGGUGUGAAAGUCCAUCGCCUAACGGUGGAUCUGCGCCGGGUACGGGCGGGCUGGAGUGCGGUAGGGGAGACUGGAAUUCCCGGUGUAACGGUGGAAUGUGUAGAUAUCGGAAAAAAACACCA